GGGGGCGACCUGGGUUCGACGGGGGUAGUUGAGACCACGGCGGCAGGCCGAGCGACCCAGUGACUCGUUAAUCCAAGGGACUAAACUGAAAAGCAGACUCAUACGAGUACGCUCUGGCCGCUUGAGGCCAGCGUCUCCGGGGGCACGCGGCCCACGGAUCUUCGGAGGCGUAAUUAAACGGGCUGGCUGGACGGGGUUUCGAAGUGACCCGCUCGGCGAGAAAAUUUGCUCCGAUAGCCUCAAGGCAGCCUGUUCGCCGGCGUCCACGAGGCGAAAAUCAAAUGACGAAAUAAGCCUGUAGAAGUCUUGGGGGAAGAUCUCCGGACGCGGGUUCAAAUCCCGCCGCCUCCACCA
This 354-nucleotide transfer-messenger RNA is filed under the name Deltaproteobacteria bacterium. It matches the Rfam family "transfer-messenger RNA". Rfam says of the family: Bacterial tmRNA, also known as 10Sa RNA or SsrA, is named for its dual tRNA and mRNA-like properties. Its role is to liberate the mRNA from a stalled ribosome. To accomplish this part of the tmRNA is used as a reading frame that ends in a translation stop signal. The record is from RNAcentral. Lineage: Bacteria; Pseudomonadati; Myxococcota; Myxococcia.